Papaver somniferum (opium poppy) is the source of this 1389-nucleotide long non-coding RNA. RefSeq lists it as uncharacterized. The transcript is spliced from 3 exons. The record is from RefSeq and is a predicted model, not a curated record. Lineage: Eukaryota; Viridiplantae; Streptophyta; Magnoliopsida; Ranunculales; Papaveraceae.
UCGUAUUUGGGGUUUUCAAUCUGUUAUUAUGUAUCACAUUUCACAGGACUGUUUUAACAUCUGUAUAUUUGUCGGAUUUCACAGGACUAUUUUAUGAUCUGUAAUUCCUUGUACUCCAUUUUAUUGUGUUUUGGUGAACUUGGAUGAUUGUUUGUAAGAAUUGGUGAUUUAUUUGUGGUUUUGAUUAUUUUAAUCAAUUAUUACAUGGAUUUUGAUUUGUUCCAUCAUUUUGGGAUGUAUUCCUUUUGUGUUCAAGUCAAAAUGAAAAAUAGUUUUGUUGGUUAGGAUUUUGAUAUGUACAAAAUGUUACUCUUAACUCUUUUGCAAAUACAAGUCUUAAAUUUGUGGGUAAGAAGGUAGCUCUGUGUAAUAAUCAUGGGUUAUUUGGAUUUACUAAAACCGGCAUCAGGUGUCAAACGUAUAUGCAUCUAUGUUUGCCAUAAUGAAUGUUAUGCUUGUCAUUGGGUAUAUUUGUUAGGGUACUGUUAGGGAUAAGUUGAAGAACAUGUUAUCGAUUCUCAGUCCUCAUUCUACCUUCUUAAGUGCUUCUAGUUCACACUUUAUAGAAUCAUGUAUCUAUUCUAAUUCGCAAGGUUUCUACCUGUUAAUAUGUGUGUCAUGCUUAAAAAAUAUGCUUGAUUGACACUAGAUUGUGGUGUGGCUCUGAUGUUUACUUUUAGUUUAAAAUUAAUAUUUAGUGAAAUUGUUGGGUUAACAAAAUAAAUAUGAUUGAUGACUUACUUUGUGCCAGCUGCAUUCACAACAUUUUGAAUUUUUUGUUCCGUUUGUAAUACUAAUUUCUUUUCACAGUGCAUCAACAUUGAACUUCCAUGCUUAAUAUCUUGUAUUCGUGUCUUUGGGAUUUGCUUGACAUAAUGCUGUUAUAUAUCAACCAGGUGGUCUAUUUUUCUUAUGUGGUGGUUAGUAAGCUUAUAGAGGAAGUUUUAUUGUUUUGUACAAGAUGGAAGAUCAACAAAAUGGGAAGCAGGGGUAAUUUUCAGGACCUUCAGCUUGCCUCUUCAGACCUGGUGAGCAGCCUUACAGUCCUGGGCAGUAGCUCCAUAGAAUUGGUUACCAUCCUUCUUACCUUUGGGGCAGUUGCAUAGGACCGGGGAUCAUUACAGACCAGAGGAGCAACUCUCUAGACCUGGGUAACAACUCUUUGAACCUGACGAGAAGCUCUACAUACCUUGGACUGAUUCGGGAGCGCUUUGGAAUAGACGACUGGAUCGGGUUUAACAUGGAAUAACUAUAGUUUGAUGUAUGAAGUUUCUCUACUUUAGAGUGGUUAACAUUGAAGUCUAGAGAUUGUGUCAAUUUAUUUAUUUUUCUCCUUAUGCUAAAGCUGGAUUCACUAAGUAUACAUUGUUACAUUUACAUUCUGUUUAA